Molecule: long non-coding RNA, 1192 nt
Organism: Hylaeus anthracinus
Lineage: Eukaryota; Metazoa; Arthropoda; Insecta; Hymenoptera; Colletidae
Exons: 2
Source: RefSeq, a predicted model, not a curated record
UCUCUUCCCAAUACUCGACGUCUCCCCUUUGAAUAUUAUCGUUGCAGAGGCGACUUGUGUAAAAAAAAUGGGUCAACGAUCUUCAAAAAAUGAGCACAUCUUUACAUAUAGCCCGAAAAGGCGGUGACAGAGGAAUACCAAUUACACGUCUUAACGAAGUAUUCUUUUAAUUAAAUGUUGAAUUUUAGACUUGCUCAAAAUGAGGGAUACGGAGUUAGACGGCAGAUUUGUAAUAUCCAAACUAAAAACAUUCAUAUAUCUCAUUCUAACUUCCUGAGAUUUAGAUUGACGAGAUUUUCUUGAUUAAAAUGAAAUGAAAUACGGCAGUAUUCGUAUUACUUAUUACAUGAAUUUUACUUUCAAUGUUUUUUUUUUUAUAUUCUUGCAUAGUGUGUGCAUUUUGUAGCUUCAUAUUUUCUAUAAAUGCAUAAAAGUCCGCAGUCUACUUAUACACGAAUUACGUCUGAAUCGGACGAGUCGAAAAGUUGUUCAACGAAAAAAUCUAUUUCUUCCAACAUGAUUACAAAAGAAUACUCUCAGAGAAACUCGAUAUUUAAAUCCCCAACGGCUGGUCGCUCGACCUGACGAGUGUUCCGUAUGUUUAUCGCAACAGUCUUAAUCAUUCAAUUAAAAUUUGUUUAUGCGAUCGAAGACCUUGUCUCUGUUUCGAGAAAAUACAGUGCAUAUAAGUUAAUCUGAAUACUUGAUACCGCGAUACUUCUAAACCACAUCCAGGGGAAAUUUAAACAAUAAGACCUUCGUAAGCUUAGCCAUGUGCACGUAUGUGUUGGCGAUGCUUCUUCAUCGAUCACUAUUACUUAUGUAAGUAGAUUAGUGGAUUAUGACAUAUACAGAAUAUUGUAAAAAGUGUAGAGGCGGAUAAAUGGCAACAGACCGAGGUUUUUGUCAUCAUUUUAAUGUUUGAAAUUCUUCAUUUCAUACAAAUUAAGUGGGGGCAUUAUAAUACAAACUUAAAAUAUAUACAUCGAUAUUUCGUGAAACUUCUCAAACAGCUAUGCAACUCAUCCAUCAAUCCGUAAAUCUAUAGAUCUCUUUUCGUAUUAUCGAUUUGCUUUCUUUCUUUUCGCGUAUGAUUUUCAUUCUCUCUCGAACUUACUUCGUAAUGUACCGUGCAACGAAACUGGCAAGUCGUUGGAAUAAAUAUUAUUCUUUUUUUUAUUUCUUUUUUUUU